GACGAACGCUGGCGGCGUGUCUAAUACAUGCAAGUAGAACGCUGAAGAGAGGAGCUUGCUCUUCUUGGAUGAGUUGCGAACGGGUGAGUAACGCGUAGGUAACCUGCCUUGUAGCGGGGGAUAACUAUUGGAAACGAUAGCUAAUACCGCAUAACAAUGGAUGACACAUGUCAUUUAUUUGAAAGGGGCAAUUGCUCCACUACAAGAUGGACCUGCGUUGUAUUAGCUAGUAGGUGAGGUAAUGGCUCACCUAGGCGACGAUACAUAGCCGACCUGAGAGGGUGAUCGGCCACACUGGGACUGAGACACAGCCCAGACUCCUACGGGAGGCAGCAGUAGGGAAUCUUCGGCAAUGGGGGCAACCCUGACCGAGCAACGCCGCGUGAGUGAAGAAGGUUUUCGGAUCGUAAAGCUCUGUUGUAAGUCAAGAACGGGUGUGAGAGUGGAAAGUUCACACUGUGACGGUAGCUUACCAGAAAGGGACGGCUAACUACGUG
RNAcentral lists this ribosomal RNA (497 nucleotides) under uncultured bacterium. Its description in RNAcentral is "partial 16S ribosomal RNA". It matches the Rfam family "Bacterial small subunit ribosomal RNA", at positions 28 to 507 of the family's 1533-position model. The record is from RNAcentral.